GCGCCCAGCUCGCGCGCCUCGCUCGCCCACUCGCCAGAGCCCGGCCAACUGCUCUCAGCCCAGCCCCGGCAGGGCAGGCUCGCUUUUCAUCAACCUCAUUUCAGAGUCGCCCCGUUCAUUGAUACUCAUCAUCCAACCCCAACAGACAUCCCAUCCCCUGCUCGGCCUCCCCCCUAUCUGGAGAACCCGGGACAGAUGACAAGUUAUUCCUUUGAGAUCCUUAAAGACCUAAAGAGCAAGGAUAUCAACAGCACAUGCGCAUAUGUGAUCUCCAUCCACCCUCAAUGCUCCUCUGAUCACUCAGAGAUGGGGGCUUUCCGGAGAGGGCAGCCGCCUUCAUGGAGAAACGGCAUAGACUCCUGGCAGAAGAAAUACGUCAUGAUCGGUCGGGUCAGAUGGGAAGUCGGUCUAGAUACCCACAGGGGGCCUUGACUUGUACAGCCUCUGCUUCUUGAUUUCAGCUAUUCCAACAGUGUCCUCUUCCAUCUGAGAUGGCUCUGCUUGGAGGAAAGUCCCCUGGGUUCCACACGGAUGAAGAGCUCUCUCUGCUGCUGAGGUCCCACACCUCACUUCAGCCCUGCAAGACUGAGGUGCAGCUUUUCUCUGGUGUGGGGACCACAAGAUGAACAAACCUUUCAAGGACUCCCAUGAGCUUGGGGUUCAGCGGGAGCCUUUGGAGAUGGAAGAUGAUUCUCUAGUAAAAAGACUUUGUCGAGCUUGGUUUUCCCACCAUGACCUGUUUGUUGUUCCAAAGAAAACCUCACUCCUUCCAGUAUUUUUCAAGCAAGUUUUAAGGCUUUUGUUUGUUUGUUUCAAGACAAGGUUUCUCUGUAUAGUUCUGGCUGUCCUGGAACUCACCCUGUAGACCAGGCUGGCCUCUAACUCACAGAGAUUCCCCUGCUUCUGCCUCCCAAGUGCUGGGAUUAAAGGAUUAGUGGGUGACACCACUGCCUGGCUCAAGCAAGCCUUUCAAAGGCCAAAAAUGUUGCUGUCCCUCGAGCUCUGGAAGAAGGAGGGGCAGGGGGACACAAGAAGGAGGAGGAAGGGGAAAGGAAGAAGGGAGGAAGAGGAAGAAGAGAGGAGGAAGAAGCUACUCCUCUUUUCCAGCUUUAACGAGAGGGAAAAGUCAGCACAGUAAUGUAACUACCCCGAGUAGAACAAACCCCUUCUUCCAGACACGACACAUCCCUUCCCAUCCCGAAGUUAUCUGGCUUCAGCUUCUACCCGAUCAGAGCAUCUCACCUCUCUAGACAUAGAUGGACCAAGACUAGGCAGGUGUUCUGCCAAUCAGAGUCGGUCUGGACCAAGACUAGGCACCAAUCAGAGUCGGUCUGGGUUCCUUUUAUUUGCUUUUGUUGGUUUGUGUUUUGUUUUGCUUUUCGUGGAUUAGCAAUGUGAAUGAACUGCUAGAGAGUCUUCAAAUUCUGUCCCGGUACCUGAGAACCCACACUUGCGGAGGUCCCCCCCCCAAAAAAGCCUGAGGACGAUGCCAAACCCAACAAUGGCAGAAAUGGGGAACCAGUCUGUAUGAGCCCCAAAUCCAACCAGGGCUAAAGCUAACGGUCACCUUGCAUGCCGGAAAAAUCCCCUCUCAUUGACCUCAGUUUGCCUUGGGUCUCCUGUCAUGCGUGGCUCCUGGUGUGUUUAACUGGGACAAGGGGCAGAGAGCAAAUGUGGCCCACCACGUCCUUCCCACUGAAGGAGCAUCCACAAGCCUUGAAACCUACAGGUGUCCCUUGCUUUAAACUUCAUGUCAGGCCCAAGAAUGAUGUCUGGGCUUUUGCAGGUUGGCUCUGGUUUCCGGAACUGAGAGAGAUGUUUGCUAGAGGCACCUCAGAAACAAUGCGUCUUGUAAAACAGCCAUGCUCCUAAAUAAACAACAAAUAAGAAAUCA
Mesocricetus auratus (golden hamster) is the source of this 1894-nucleotide long non-coding RNA. RefSeq lists it as uncharacterized. Lineage: Eukaryota; Metazoa; Chordata; Mammalia; Rodentia; Cricetidae. The record is from RefSeq and is a predicted model, not a curated record. The transcript is spliced from 3 exons.